UGAAGAGCCAACCACUGCAUUAACAGCUGAAGACAGCACCUCAACAACUUCCCCACUAACCAGCAGUCAGUCACCAACAUUCAGCUCAAACAGUGAAACGACUAGGAAACCCGCGACUACUACGCAGAAGCAGACAGAUGCCACAAGGCUGAUCAUGAAAGUACGCGGUGUCCUGCAUGCCAACAAGAACGAGGAAGCCUUGCAGAAACUGCAGCUUUUUCUAGACAACACACUGAAGGAGCAUUGCAAUGACUGCACAGUACGGAUUCUGAGGCACAAUGUUUCCACAAAUGAUCCUAAA
Molecule: long non-coding RNA, 301 nt
Organism: Sardina pilchardus (European sardine)
Lineage: Eukaryota; Metazoa; Chordata; Actinopteri; Clupeiformes; Clupeidae
Exons: 3
Source: RefSeq, a predicted model, not a curated record